Molecule: long non-coding RNA, 212 nt
Filed under: Gossypium barbadense (sea-island cotton)
Lineage: Eukaryota; Viridiplantae; Streptophyta; Magnoliopsida; Malvales; Malvaceae
Description: long non-coding RNA (GBAR_LNC001567)
Source: RNAcentral
AUAAGUAGUGCUUCAAUUGGGCUAGGUAAAUAGGCUAGCAAUUUUGGGUUUUGUAAAUGGACUGUAAAAAACUUUUAUUAUUUCUUUGGUUUUUGUUUUUUUGUUUAUUUUAUGGGCCGGGAAUGUAACACCCCCUACCCAUAUCUGUCGCCGGAAUAGAGUACGAGGCAUUACCGAGAAGCACGAAACACUUACAGAUAAUUUAAAUACAU